AGCUUUGCGCAGUGGCAGUAUCAUAGCUAAUGAGGUUUAUCCAAGGCGCAGUUAUUGCUAAUUGAAUUGGAUCUGUAGCAAGUCCUGCUUGAAUUCAACAGGCCAGAACUGAGCCUAUGGCUCUCCUGACUUUUUCCACCUAUCCUUUCCCUCUCUGAGAUCUGAGGAAAGCAAGUACAGGAGGUAAUCCUUGCAAACACUGGAGUG
Molecule: small nuclear RNA, 207 nt
Filed under: Canis lupus familiaris (dog)
Lineage: Eukaryota; Metazoa; Chordata; Mammalia; Carnivora; Canidae
Also listed under: 1 other name
Description: U4 spliceosomal RNA (multiple genes)
Rfam family: U4 spliceosomal RNA (bases 1-68)
Source: RNAcentral